GAGUGCGAUUCUGGAUGAGUUUUGCAGGUGGAGCUGACAGUCUGCUCUGGAUCUACUUGUGAAUGUGAAGGCAGGAGAGGAGUCAAGGACAAGCCCUCAGAGCCACCAGGAGGAUGGAGCUGCAGAGGCCAUGCCAAAAGUGCGUCCUCGGCCGCCUGGUGGGCCUCCUACAUCGACGGACUGAGCCAAGAUGUCCUGAGUGCCUACUGUGCACCAAGCACUGCCUGACCAGUAAACAGAAUGCCCCUGCCGGCCUGAAGCACACCAGGAGUGGGAGCAAGAGGUGGGUCCACGAGGACAGCGGGAAUGGGAC
Molecule: non-coding RNA, 313 nt
Organism: Ictidomys tridecemlineatus (thirteen-lined ground squirrel)
Lineage: Eukaryota; Metazoa; Chordata; Mammalia; Rodentia; Sciuridae
Source: RefSeq, a predicted model, not a curated record